CAAUAGCGUAUAUUUAAGUUGUUGCAGUUAAAAAGCUCGUAGUUGGAUUUGUGGUGUACUUCGGCGGCCCGUCACUAUGUGAUGGAGCUUGCUGAAGUCGCCAUCCUUGGGUGGAUCCUGUGUGGCAUUAAGUUGUCGUGCAGGGGAUGCCCAUCGUUUACUGUGAAAAAAUUAGAGUGUUCAAAGCAGGCUUAUGCCGUUGAAUAUAUUAGCAUGGAAUAAUAAGAUAGGACCUUGGUACUAUUUUGUUGGUUUGCGCACCAAGGUAAUGAUUAAUAGGGACAGUUGGGGGUAUUCGUAUUUCAUUGUCAGAGGUGAAAUUCUUGGAUUUUUGAAAGACGAACUACUGCGAAAGCAUUUACCAAGGAUGUUUNCAUUA
RNAcentral lists this ribosomal RNA (379 nucleotides) under uncultured eukaryote. Its description in RNAcentral is "partial 18S ribosomal RNA". It matches the Rfam family "Eukaryotic small subunit ribosomal RNA", at positions 592 to 975 of the family's 1831-position model. The record is from RNAcentral.